This 253-nucleotide ribosomal RNA is filed under the name uncultured bacterium. Its description in RNAcentral is "partial 16S ribosomal RNA". It matches the Rfam family "Bacterial small subunit ribosomal RNA", at positions 524 to 776 of the family's 1533-position model. The record is from RNAcentral.
UACAGAGGUCCCAAGCGUUGUUCGGAUUCACUGGGCGUAAAGGGUGCGUAGGUGGUGAGGUAAGUCGGAUGUGAAAUCUCCGGGCUCAACCCGGAAAUGGCAUUGGAAACUACCUUGCUGGAGGAUUUGAGGGGGGAUUGGAAUACUUGGUGUAGCAGUGAAAUGCGUAGAUAUCAAGUGGAACACCAGUGGCGAAGGCGAAUCCCUGGAAAACUCCUGACACUGAGGCACGAAAGCUAGGGGAGCAAACAGG